UGGUGGAUUGAUUUGUCUGGUUUAUUCCGUUAACGAACGAGACCUCAACCUACUAACUAGACCUUGUUAGAUCUUCUAGCAAGGAGAUUAGCUUCUUAGUGGGACAAACCGAUUCCAAGCGGUUGGAAGUUUGAGCCAACAACA
This 144-nucleotide ribosomal RNA is filed under the name uncultured eukaryote. RNAcentral's name for it is "partial 18S ribosomal RNA". It matches the Rfam family "Eukaryotic small subunit ribosomal RNA", at positions 1299 to 1458 of the family's 1831-position model. The record is from RNAcentral.